AGCGAACGCUGGCGGCAGGCCUAACACAUGCAAGUCGAACGAACCUUUCGGGGUUAGUGGCGGACGGGUGAGUAACACGUGGGAACGUGCCUUUAGGUUCGGAAUAACUCAGGGAAACUUGUGCUAAUACCGAAUGUGCCCUUCGGGGGAAAGAUUAAUCGCCUUUAGAGCGGCCCGCGUCUGAUUAGCUGGUUGGUUGAGGUAAUGGCUCACCAAGGCGACGAUCAGUAGCUGGUCUGAGAGGAUGAUCAGCCACAUUGGGACUGAGACACGGCCCAAACUCCUGCGGGAGGCAGCAGUGGGGAAUCUGGCGCAAUGGGCGAAAGCCUGACGCAGCCAUGCCGCGGGAAUGAUGAAGGUCUUAGGAUUGUAAAAUUCUUUCACCGGGGACGAUAAUGACGGGACCCGGAGAAGAAGCCCCGGCAAACUUCGU
RNAcentral lists this ribosomal RNA (433 nucleotides) under uncultured bacterium. Its description in RNAcentral is "partial 16S ribosomal RNA". It matches the Rfam family "Bacterial small subunit ribosomal RNA", at positions 29 to 506 of the family's 1533-position model. The record is from RNAcentral.